UACGUAGGGUGCGAGCGUUGCUCGGAAUCAUUGGGCGUAAAGCGCACGUAGGCGGCUUGUUAAGUCGGAUGUGAAAGCCCUCGGCUCAACCGAGGAAGUGCAUACGAAACUGGCGAGCUUGAAUAUGGAAGAGGGUCGCGGAAUUCCCGGUGUAGAGGUGAAAUUCGUAGAUAUCGGGAGGAACACCAGUGGCGAAGGCGGCGACCUGGGCCAAUAUUGACGCUGAGGUGCGAAAGCGUGGGGAGCAAACAGG
RNAcentral lists this ribosomal RNA (253 nucleotides) under uncultured bacterium. RNAcentral's name for it is "partial 16S ribosomal RNA". It matches the Rfam family "Bacterial small subunit ribosomal RNA", at positions 524 to 776 of the family's 1533-position model. The record is from RNAcentral.